This 491-nucleotide ribosomal RNA is filed under the name uncultured bacterium. Its description in RNAcentral is "partial 16S ribosomal RNA". It matches the Rfam family "Bacterial small subunit ribosomal RNA", at positions 29 to 507 of the family's 1533-position model. The record is from RNAcentral.
AUGAACGCUAGCUACAGGCUUAACCCAUGCAAGUCGAGGGGAAACGACAUCGAAAGCUUGCUUUUGAUGGGCGUCGACCGGCGCACGGGUGAGUAACGCGUAUCCAACCUGCCCAUCACUUGGGAAUAACCUUGCGAAAGUAAGACUAAUACCCAAUGACAUCCCACGAAGACAUCUGAAUGGGAUUAAAGAUUUAUCGGUGAUGGAUGGGGAUGCGUCUGAUUAGCUUGUUGGCGGGGUAACGGCCCACCAAGGCAACGAUCAGUAGGGGUUCUGAGAGGAAGGUCCCCCACAUUGGAACUGAGACACGGUCCAAACUCCUACGGGAGGCAGCAGUGAGGAAUAUUGGUCAAUGGGCGAGAGCCUGAACCAGCCAAGUAGCGUGCAGGAGGACGGCCCUAUGGGUUGUAAACUGCUUUUAGAAGGGAAUAAAGUGGGUCUCGGGAGACUUUUUGCAUGUACCUUAUGAAUAAGGACCGGCUAAUUCCGUG